UCCCAAUUGGUGUAGUGGUGAGCAUGCUAGAUUCUCAUUCUGGAGACCAGGGUUCAAUUCCCUGAUUGGGAA
Molecule: transfer RNA, 72 nt
Organism: Pseudomassariella vexata
Lineage: Eukaryota; Fungi; Ascomycota; Sordariomycetes; Amphisphaeriales; Pseudomassariaceae
Rfam family: tRNA
About the family: Transfer RNA (tRNA) molecules are approximately 80 nucleotides in length.
Source: Rfam